RNAcentral lists this ribosomal RNA (425 nucleotides) under uncultured bacterium. Its description in RNAcentral is "bacterial SSU rRNA". It matches the Rfam family "Bacterial small subunit ribosomal RNA", at positions 354 to 796 of the family's 1533-position model. The record is from RNAcentral.
GUCGGGAAUAUUGCGCAAUGGAGGAAACUCUGACGCAGUGACGCCGCGUAUAGGAAGAAGGUUUUCGGAUUGUAAACUAUUGUCGUGAGGGAAGAAAUUGACAGUACCUCAGGAGGAAGCUCCGGCUAACUAUGUGCCAGCAGCCGCGGUAAUACAUAGGGAGCAAGCGUUAUCCGGAUUUAUUGGGUGUAAAGGGUGCGUAGACGGGAAAUUAAGUUAGUUGUGAAAUCCCUUGGCUUAACUGAGGAACUGCAACUAAAACUGGUUUUCUUGAGUACUGGAGAGGAAAGUGGAAUUCCUAGUGUAGCGGUGAAAUGCGUAGAUAUUAGGAGGAACACCAGUGGCGAAGGCGACUUUCUGGACAGUUACUGACGUUGAGGCACGAAAGUGUGGGGAGCAAACAGGAUUAGAAACCCUAGUAGUCC